RNAcentral lists this ribosomal RNA (507 nucleotides) under uncultured bacterium. Its description in RNAcentral is "partial 16S ribosomal RNA". It matches the Rfam family "Bacterial small subunit ribosomal RNA", at positions 30 to 523 of the family's 1533-position model. The record is from RNAcentral.
AUUGAACGCUGGCGGCAGGCCUAACACAUGCAAGUCGAGCGGCAGCGGAAGGAAGCUUGCUUCCUUGCCGGCGAGCGGCGGACGGGUGAGUAAGGUAUGGGGAUCUGGCCGAAGGCGGGGGAUAACCACUGGAAACGGUGGCUAAUACCGCAUAAUCUCUAAGGAGCAAAGUGGGGGACCGUUCAGGCCUCACACCUUCGGAUGAACCCAUAUGAGAUUAGCUAGUAGGUGGGGUAAUGGCUCACCUAGGCGACGAUCUCUAGCUGGUCUGAGAGGAUGAUCAGCCACACUGGGACUGAGACACGGCCCAGACUCCUACGGGAGGCAGCAGUGGGGAAUAUUGCACAAUGGGCGCAAGCCUGAUGCAGCCAUGCCGCGUGUAUGAAGAAGGCCUUCGGGCUGUAAAGUACUUUCAGUCGUGAGGAAGGUAUUAAGGUUAAUAACCUUAGCAAUUGACGUUAGCGACAGAAGAAGCACCGGCUAACUCCGUGCCAGCCGCCGCAGUAA